This is a long non-coding RNA of Bombyx mori (domestic silkworm), 525 nucleotides long. RefSeq lists it as uncharacterized. The transcript has 3 exons. The record is from RefSeq and is a predicted model, not a curated record. Lineage: Eukaryota; Metazoa; Arthropoda; Insecta; Lepidoptera; Bombycidae.
GACCUUUCACAAUAUAGUAUUUUUUGUAUCAAACCUUUAUCCCACUUUCCUAAUAAAGUUUAUUCGCUUUAGAUAAAAAAAAAAACUGAGAUCGGAUUUUGAGUGACUUCGGAAUUUUAAAAAUAAAUUCGAAUAUUAUGAUUUCGUAUUUAUUUCGUAGUGAAAAGUUAUGUUCUUCUGACUUAUCAAAGAAAGUAAGAAAAAUACUACAUAGACGUUGCUCACUUGUUUCCCGAGAUUAUUGAAAAGUGAUUAUCCACCUUUAGAUAAUAGGAGGAGGACAUUGACUCAAGCAGUGUAAACAGUUCCUUAUCUCAAGCUUCGCUGCAACGCCGCCGACGAGUCACUCGCAGCUUUUAUCUAAAACAAAAUUGUUGUUGGUAGAUAUUUUAAACACAAGUUUAUUGUCGACUCGUUGCUAAGUAAAGGUACAUUUUGUGUUUAUGUUUGUGUGGUAGUUGCUGCGAAAUAAGGUCAAUAAUUAAUUAUGGUUAGCGAAUAAAAAUGAAUUACAAUAUUGGCACA